CUACGGGUGGCUCCAGUGGGGAAUAUUGCGCAAUGGGCGAAAGCCUGACGCAGCGACGCCGCGUGAGUGAAGAAGGCCUUCGGGUUGUAAAGCUCUGUCAGGAGGGAAGAAGGUGCUUGCACUGACGGUACCUCCAGAGGAAGCCCCGGCUAACUACGUGCCAGCAGCCGCGGUAAUACGUAGGGGGCGAGCGUUGUCCGGAAUCAUUGGGCGUAAAGAGCACGUAGGCGGCCGGCCAAGUCGGAUGUGAAAGACCGGGGCUCAACUCCGGGGUUGCAUUCGAAACUGGUUGGCUUGAGUCCAGUAGAGGAAAGUGGAAUUCCCAGUGUAGCGGUGAAAUGCGCAGAUAUUGGGAAGAACACCGGUGGCGAAGGCGGCUUUCUGGGCUGUGACUGACGCUGAGGUGCGAAAGCUGGGGGAGCAAACAGGAUUAGAUACCCUCGUAGUC
This 448-nucleotide ribosomal RNA is filed under the name uncultured bacterium. RNAcentral describes it as "partial 16S ribosomal RNA". It matches the Rfam family "Bacterial small subunit ribosomal RNA", at positions 339 to 795 of the family's 1533-position model. The record is from RNAcentral.